This 253-nucleotide ribosomal RNA is filed under the name uncultured bacterium. Its description in RNAcentral is "partial 16S ribosomal RNA". It matches the Rfam family "Bacterial small subunit ribosomal RNA", at positions 524 to 776 of the family's 1533-position model. The record is from RNAcentral.
GACAGAGGGUGCAAACGUUGUUCGGAAUUACUGGGCGUAAAGCGAGUGUAGGCGGUCUGCUAAGUCGGGUGUGAAAGCCCUGGGCUCAACCCAGGAAGUGCACUCGAAACUGGCAGGCUAGAGUACUGGAGAGGUUGGUGGAAUUCUCGGUGUAGAGGUGAAAUUCGUAGAUAUCGAGAGGAACACCGGUGGCGAAGGCGGCCAACUGGACAGAUACUGACGCUGAGGUGCGAAAGCGUGGGGAGCAAACGGG